GGCAUUUAGUGACAUUUAAAGUGUAGAUGGGUAAACGCGAUGACUCCGGACGGGAGGUCGUUCCUCGUUAAAACGCUAGCUCGUUUUACAGCUAGCUUAAACGAUCCAGCGCUAGUGACAGCUGGCCGCGUAAAUGUUUUGGCUUCCCUCAUGGACACACUCGCUCGGAUAAUCGCUCUGUGCUUUCUUGGGGUUUCUUCUUCAGCAGAAACACCUCAAUGCUGUUGCCCAUCCCCACUGAUUCAGGCAGAAGAAGGUCGUAAUGUCUCAUUACCAUGUUAUGUGGAUCCCUCAGUUGACCUGUCUGCUUAUACAGUGGACUGGAAACAAACUGACUUGAACAAUGUAGUCUUCUCGUGGCGACACGGGCAUGAAAAUCAUGGUGCACAGGCGCCGAGCUAUAGACGCAGAGUAACUAUCAACCCCGGAGACCUUAGCAGAGGAAAUCUAACUCUGCAGAUCUUCUCAGCACGCCUGUCUGAUAGUGGACAUUACAGGUGUUUUGUGCCAAAACUGAAAACCUUUUGCAUCGUUCAUCUUAAUGUAACCAAAGAGAUUAAUGUCAGGUCCAGCACAACCACAUCUCCAAAUUUCCACAGCACAACCACAACGCUGAAGCCAGAUGAUCCAGAUAAACUUCUUGACGCGCUCCUUCCUGUUGGUAUCAUCUUUCUCCUGAUUGUCGUUGGAUUUUGUCUGAAGAAACGUGUAACGAUCCGGCAAUGCGUGGGGGAGCUGAAAGGGCAGAAACGAGGAGUGGACCGUUCCAUCCACGUUGAACUUCAGUCUUUGGAGAAUUCAACACUGAAAGACGACAAGAACAAGGCUUCUUGAGAAAUGAGUGAAGAAGUACAAUGUUGUGCUUAUCUUUGAUUGGCUGAGUAAUCAAAAUGAUUUUAGAAAGUGUCCUCAAGCUGCUCUCAUUACGUUACAGCUGGUUUAAGUACAGCUUAAUUCAAAUUAAUUACUUUGGAUUGUUUUAAGUGGUUCUAAAAGCUCAUCCUUAUACCCAUUUAGAUACUUAUAUUUGAUCUGUGUCAUUGUCUUGUAUUUCAUAUUGGAAUAGGAUGUGCUUUUGUUUAGUGUAUGUAGCACUUUGCAGCUUGGCUUCAUUUCAGCCUGUGGAGAUUCCAGGAAGUAACUCAAUUAUGAGAACCAACAUCUACACUUAACAUAUUUGUUAUGCCAUUAUUAUAGUUUGAACAUUACUGUUCAUACCUACUGCUGUUUAAAGCACUUUUGUUGUCUUUGAGAAGAAGAGUUUUUGGAUGUCCUCUGUGUCAGUAAUCAAAAGAAUCAGAUCCAAUUUAAUUAAAACUACCUCGUUAUCUAAGGAUCUGGAAACUACAGUGGCUUGCAAAAGUAUUCGGCCCCUUGAACUUUUCCACCUUUUGUCACGUUACAGCCACAAACAUGAAUCCAUUUUAUUGGAAUUCCAGGUGAAAGACCAAUACAAAGUGGUGUACACUUGAGAAGUGGAACGAAAAUCAUACAUGAUUCCAAACAUUUUUUACAAAUAAAUAACUGAAAAGUGGGGUGUGCGUAAUUAUUCAUCCCCCUGAGUCAAUACUUUGUAGAACCACCUUUUGCUGCAAUUACAGCUGCCAGUCUUUUAGGCUAUGUCUCUACCAGCUUUGCACAUCUAGAGACUGAAAUCCUUGCCCAUUCUUCUGUGCAAAACAGCUCCAGCUCAGUCAGAUUAGAUGGUCAGCGUUUGUGAACAGCAGUUUUCAGAUCUUGCCACAGAUUCUCGAUUGGAUUUAGAUCUGGACUUUGACUGGGCCAUUCUAACACAUGGAUGUGUUUUGUUUUAAACCAUUCCAUUGUUGCCCUGGCUUUAUGUUUAGGGUCGCUGUCCUGCUGGAAGGUGAACCUCCGCCCCAGUCUCAAGUCCUUUGCAGACUCCAAGAUGUUUUCUUCCAAGAUUGCCCUGUAUUUGGCUCCAUCCAUCGUUCCAUCAACUCUGGCCAGCUUCCCUGUCCCUGCUGAAGAGAAGCACCCCCAGAGCAUGAUGCUGCCACCACCAUACAGGGAG
Molecule: long non-coding RNA, 2035 nt
Organism: Oreochromis aureus
Lineage: Eukaryota; Metazoa; Chordata; Actinopteri; Cichliformes; Cichlidae
Source: Ensembl